CCCUUAGAUGUCCUGGGCCGCACGCGCGCUACACUGAUGCAUGCAACGAGUAUAUAACCUUGGCCUGAAAGGCCUGGGUAAUCUUUUGAACGUGCAUCGUGAUAGGGAUAGAUUAUUGCAAUUAUUAAUCUUGAACGAGGAAUUCCUAGUAAACGCGAGUCAUCAGCUCGCAUUGAUUACGUCCCUGCCCUUUGUACACACCGCCCGUCGCUCCUACCGAUUGAGUGGUCCGGUGAGGCUUUGGGAUCUGAGCGGAAAGAGCGUUUCGCUGUUUCUGCUCGGAAAACUCAGUCGAACCUUAUCAUUUAGAGGAAGGAGAAGUCGUAACA
Molecule: ribosomal RNA, 329 nt
Filed under: uncultured eukaryote
Lineage: Eukaryota
Description: partial 18S ribosomal RNA
Rfam family: Eukaryotic small subunit ribosomal RNA
Source: RNAcentral